RNAcentral lists this unclassified non-coding RNA (379 nucleotides) under plant metagenome. RNAcentral's name for it is "partial contains 5.8S ribosomal RNA, internal transcribed spacer 2, and large subunit ribosomal RNA". The stretch from base 1 to 106 matches the Rfam family "5.8S ribosomal RNA", at positions 49 to 154 of the family's 154-position model. The record is from RNAcentral.
CGAACUGCGAUAAGUAAUGUGAAUUGCAGAAUUCAGUGAAUCAUCGAAUCUUUGAACGCACCUUUCGCUCCUUGGUAUUCCUUGGAGCAUGCCUGUUUGAGUAUCAUGAAAUCUUCAAAGUAAAUCUUUUGUUAACUCAAUUGGUUUCUACUUUGGUAUUGGAGGUCUUUGCAGCUUCACACCUGCUCCUCUUUGUUCAUUAGCUGGAUCUCAGUGUUAUGCUUGGUUCCACUCGGCGUGAUAAGUUAUCUAUCGCUGAGGACACUGUAAAAGGUGGCCAAGGUAAAUGCAGAUGAACCGCUUCUAAUAGUCCAUUGACUUGGACAAUACUUUUAUGAUCUGAUCUCAAAUCAGGUAGAACUACCCGCUGAACUUAAGC